AGUGAACGCUGGCGGUAGGCCUAACACAUGCAAGUCGAACGGCAGCACAGGAGAGCUUGCUCUCUGGGUGGCGAGUGGCGGACGGGUGAGGAAUACAUCGGAAUCUACUCUGUCGUGGGGGAUAACGUAGGGAAACUUACGCUAAUACCGCAUACGACCUACGGGUGAAAGCAGGGGACCUUCGGCCCUUGCGCGAUUGAAUGAGCCGAUGUCGGAUUAGCUAGUUGGCGGGGUAAAGGCCCACCACGGCGACGAUCCGUAGCUGGUCUGAGAGGAUGAUCAGCCACACUGGAACUGAGACACGGUCCAGACUCCUACGGGAGGCAGCAGUGGGGAAUAUUGGACAAUGGGCGCAAGCCCGAUCCAGCCAUACCGCGUGGGUGAAGAAGGCCUUCGGGUUGUAAAGCCCUUUUGUUGGGGAAGAAAUCCAGCUGGCUAAUACCCGGUUGGGAUGACGGUACCCAAAGAAUAAGCACCGGCUAACUUCGUGCCAGCAGCCGCCGUAA
This 506-nucleotide ribosomal RNA is filed under the name uncultured bacterium. RNAcentral describes it as "partial 16S ribosomal RNA". It matches the Rfam family "Bacterial small subunit ribosomal RNA", at positions 29 to 523 of the family's 1533-position model. The record is from RNAcentral.